RNAcentral lists this unclassified non-coding RNA (309 nucleotides) under plant metagenome. Its description in RNAcentral is "partial contains 5.8S ribosomal RNA, internal transcribed spacer 2, and large subunit ribosomal RNA". The stretch from base 1 to 105 matches the Rfam family "5.8S ribosomal RNA", at positions 50 to 154 of the family's 154-position model. The record is from RNAcentral.
GAAAUGCGAUAAGUAAUGUGAAUUGCAGAAUUCAGUGAAUCAUCGAAUCUUUGAACGCACAUUGCGCCCGCCAGUAUUCUGGCGGGCAUGCCUGUUCGAGCAUCAUUUCAACCAUCAAGCCCCCGGGCUUGUGUUGGGGACCUGCGGCUGCCGCAGGCCCCGAAAACCAGUGGCGGGCUCGCUGUCACACCGGGCGUAGUAGGUUUUUCGUCUCGCCCAGGGCGUGCUGCGGGUUCCGGCCGUUAAAAAGCCUCUCUUUUAACCCAAGGUUGACCUCGGAUCAGGUAGGAAGACCCGCUGAACUUAAGC